Molecule: unclassified non-coding RNA, 244 nt
Filed under: uncultured fungus
Lineage: Eukaryota; Fungi
Description: sequence contains ITS1, 5.8S rRNA gene
Rfam family: 5.8S ribosomal RNA (bases 196-244)
Source: RNAcentral
UCUCCUUUUUUUAACCCGCGGAGGGAUCAUUACAGAGUUUUUAACUCCCAAACCCAUGUGAACUUACCAUUGUUGCCUCGGCGGAGCCUACCCUGUAGCUACCCUGUAGGGUGGUUACCCUGUAGCGCCCCGCCGGUGGAUUUUCAAACUCUUGUUAUUUUUAGUAAUCUGAGCGUCUUAUUUUAAAUAAGUCAAAACUUUCAACAACGGAUCUCUUGGUACUGGCAUCGAUAAAGAACGCAGC